UACGUAGGGUGCAAGCGUUGUCCGGAAUUACUGGGCGUAAAGCGCGUGUAGGCGGCCGAUUAAGUCUGGUGUGAAAGCCCGGGGCUCACCCCCGGAAGUGCGCUGGAAACUGGUCGGCUAGAGUAUGGGAGAGGAAAGUGGAAUUCCCGGUGUAGCGGUGAAAUGCGCAGAUAUCAGGAAGAACACCAAUGGCGAAAGCAGCUUUCUGGGACGGUACUGACGCUGAGACGCGAAAGCGUGGGGAGCGAACAGG
RNAcentral lists this ribosomal RNA (253 nucleotides) under uncultured bacterium. Its description in RNAcentral is "partial 16S ribosomal RNA". It matches the Rfam family "Bacterial small subunit ribosomal RNA", at positions 524 to 776 of the family's 1533-position model. The record is from RNAcentral.